Molecule: non-coding RNA, 101 nt
Filed under: Mitsuaria sp. PDC51
Lineage: Bacteria; Pseudomonadati; Pseudomonadota; Betaproteobacteria; Burkholderiales; Sphaerotilaceae
Description: c-di-GMP-I riboswitch aptamer
Rfam family: c-di-GMP-I riboswitch aptamer
About the family: GEMM was predicted in a large-scale screen for bacterial structured RNA regulatory elements.
Source: Rfam by way of RNAcentral
GACUGCCUAGGGCAAAACCGGCGCGAGCCGGCGACGCAAAGCUUCCGGUCUCCCGCCGGCAUCCCUCCGAUGCCGUGGCGCGAGAUAGCGGGGUUGCCGGA